This 3680-nucleotide long non-coding RNA is filed under the name Linum usitatissimum (flax). RNAcentral's name for it is "long non-coding RNA (LUSI_LNC004059)". The stretch from base 2812 to 2883 matches the Rfam family "tRNA". The record is from RNAcentral. Lineage: Eukaryota; Viridiplantae; Streptophyta; Magnoliopsida; Malpighiales; Linaceae.
AUGAAGAAUAGAUAUAUUAUUUGUCUUUAUUGUAUUUGUGGAAGUGAGGUGAGCCCCUUGUUUUGUCUGUCAUUUGAGUCGAGAAACUCAAGUUGUUGGCCUUUUUUUAUUUAAAAUUUGGACCUUUUGAAUAUCCUAGCCCUUAUCUCUAAAAGGGCUUACUCCAUUCUCUAUUUCAUAUCCUCCUCUGGUCACUGGUAUAGAUGAUGACCGGCUUUCCUCCCUUUUCACACUGAAAGGCACCUCUGUCCUCCGGUGUCUAAAUACCCUUAUGUAAUUGCACUCGUAACUUAUUUAUCUUCAAUUGACAUUGCCUUGAAAAGCCUAAACCUAUCUCGAGAGUAACCUGGGGACCCAAUGUAGCUUUCUCUGGUUGGGUACGUACGGCUGUUCCUGCAGAACCUAACCUCAGGCCUCUUUUCAGUUAAACUAAACAACCAGCCUGAAAGGUGCGAUAGCUGCUAGGUAAAAACACUCGUUUAAACAUCUCUGCGAUAGGCCUUCUUAUUUUCCGAUUUAGAAUUUUUCCUCAGUUCAUGAGUUAUUGUUAGGCCGUUUCCUCCACUUUUUUAAUUUAACUCUCCGGAAUUCGGGUUGCAUCCAAAAAGACCGAGAAAACGUGAACUUGUCCGAUUUCAGCUGUGAUUCCUCUUGUCGACUCUUCACUCUUGGGUUCAGCUGAAGCUCUUGUUCAAAUAUCCGCAGUUCUUGCCGUUGAAGGCAUAACCGGUCUUAGCUUUGACUUGGCAGUAGGAAAAGUCUAAAGACCUAACCCUAUUACCGCAGUGGGAGGAAGAGAAGUAGGAGAGCGGCAGGCGAAAGGUAAAGGUAAAGCGCCUUUCUUGGUCGGUGAUCGGUCAAUGAAGAGCCGAUCGGAGAAUAGUAUGUUUGAAGGAAUUAGGUAACUAGGAAGCGUACUGCCCUGCCAUAGUCGACUGCGAUUUUGAGCUCAGCUGGCAAGCCAAUCGCCGUCAGUGGCUUCGGCAGUCAUUCCAUUCAAGCAAGCUAGUCGUAGCGGGCAAGAAAGAAAAACCUGAGGUAAGAGCCGGUAAGCCCAAACAAACCUUCCCUCAGCUUGAAAAACAACCCUUUGGUUGGAGAAUUUCCUACGUAUGAAUUGCCCCGAUCCAUCACCAAAGUCAAUUCGUAAAAAAAGAGUAUAAAAGGAAUCGAUUCAGACACCCCCUUACCUUAAAGCCCUCAUUCGAAUAGUCUAAUAUAGGUGCCCAGGGGGCUAGGUUCCAACCAUUCUUGCUAAGGACAACCUCGCUCCAAUCGAAACGAAUAGCGACCCGCUUCCCAAUGGCCUCACCGAAGUAAGAUAGAUAUGCUUUUAUUCAGACCAAGAUUUUUUUAAUAAAAAGGCACGUUUAGGACCCCUAAUAAGGUGUAUGGCAUUAGCCUGCUAGGAAAGGAGUGGAUUAGUGUUUUGAGCUUGUUAUCAAAAGAUAAACCUUGGUCUCAAAAGAUAAAGGCAGAAAAACCUGUGAGAGAACGCCGAGUCAUAGGACAACUAACCCAAUCCUGUAGGACAACUAAUCCAAUCCGAGAAUUCGGAAAGUGUUCACCUUCGGGAUAAAAGGACUCCCUUUCUUCACUUCAGCUCCUUAUCUAGAAGCAUAUCUGGAUAUAUACUCAUAGUGGCUUCCAUACCUAUCUCCCGUAGAGCUAACAACAUAUCAACCUAUGACUAGUAGACCCAUACCAAGAUCUAACAGUAUACUUUAGCAUUUAAAGAUCUCUUUCGUUAUUCUAUUUUUUCGGGUUACUCACCGUACAGAUCAGAUUUUAUGCCAUUUAAUUUAAAUAUGGUUAAAGAUCCAUACCUGGCUGGGAAAGGAAAAGGGUAUAGGCAGUUUACUUAGUGAACUGAGUUUAAGUGGAUUCAGUAGAUUAUGCAGAUUAAGCCAUCUAAGUCAAGCCCAUCAUGUUUAAUCCACUUUACUUGUCAAAGAUAACCCGGUCAGCAAAAGAAAGAAAUUGUCGACGCCUACGCUGGCCAUUGCUUUGACCGUUCCAAUUUGAUUGUUGAACAGGAGCACUCUGGACGACGAAGCGACGAGAGUUACAUUAGGGUAGGGGCAAGCCCACUGUUAAGAGAAUCGCCAUUUUCCUAAGGGUUAAAGCCAAUAUCCUCUUUUAUUUCCGGGCUUGACGAGCUAGAAAAGGAAGCAUUAUUGAACAAAUUGGCGAAAAAAACUAAGAUAAGCUCAUAUAGUUGCAUAAAGCAAAGGAAAUAUAUUUAUUAUUAUUUGAAAUAAAACUUGAAAAGGGAUUGGGGGAUAUUAAAGCGGGUUGCAUUCAAUUCUUAUUAUUUAAUACCGAACUAACGAGAGUAAUGAGCUAAGAGGCUAGCAUUCCUUGAGGAAUCCUGCAGCAAGGACUUUUUAAUCGUCUAGUGGGCUAUCUUUCUGUUCUAAAAAGAAUAUGGCCUUAUCCCUAUGGAAUCCGAAAUCUAGCAGCCUCGAGACGCCAAAACCAAGGACUCCGCAAAGCUAAAAGAGUCAAGCUAGGUAAAAUGGGAUUAGAGCCUUGCAUAACGUACGGAAGACAGACUUUCACACGGCCAGAAAGAAAGGUCAGUGACGACAGAACUUGAAGUCACGUCAGAAAUUCUACUUCCCCGGUUCUUUUACCAGCCAGCCUACGUGAUAAGCAAGGAGAGCCAACGAACGAAAGCCAUCUUGUUGUUAUGAAAUGAGGCUUUGUUGCAAACUAUGUUGUUAUGAAAUGAGGCCUUGUUCGUAUAAUAAAUAAGAAAACGAACCACUUCUAUUCUCGGAGCUGAGGUAUAUGAAGAAUGGCUUUUUGGUCCCUUUCGUCCAGUGGUUAGGACAUCGUCUUUUCAUGUCGAAGACACGGGUUCGAUUCCCGUAAGGGAUAGUACUCAUUGUCGGCCGUUUACUGAAAGUGUUCCCUUCCCUUUUUUCCCGUCGGUCACUCCUAAAUGAAUAACUCUACCUUGUAUGGACUGCUAAAUAGAUUCCUCUUGGCUUGGGGGACUCUUUCAAUUGCUGAUAGACCGCUUCUCUUUUUCAGGGCCUGACCCUUUCUUUGAAUAACUAUAUUUUAGUUGCUCUCUUAACUCCGGAGCUCCGGGGACUAAGUAAAUUACAGACUACCCCGCUGAAAAAGGUGAGCAGCUUCAGUUAGAAGUUCCGCUCGAGUGGAACGGUUGUUGGUGCUAUAUUUCAUAUCCUCCACCUGUUGGUGAGUUACCUCUUCCCUUUCGGAAGAAAGCAAUAGUAGGAUUUCAGUCCCGGAUCUUGAGUACUAGUUGAGAUUUUCUCCAUCAAUGGCAGAAGGGGCGGGUAAAGCGCGGCUAGGUAGGCUUGCUUCGAAUAGGCUACACAGCCUUGGUCCCCGGAUGGUGUAAGUCCUUCUCUAACUUGAAGAGCAGCAAACCACCCUUCCUCUAAUGGCAUGGUCUUCCUUCAUCAUUCCACGAAACUUAAAAAUUAGUUUUUUUACUACACUAAAACCCAUCCUAAAAAGGGGCACUAAAGCUUGAACUUACUCUUUUCAACGGCAUCUUCCUUGUCUGCUUCUACAGAUGUGUUUGUGGCUGUUUUUUAAGAUUUAUAUGAUUCUGCGGAUGAAAGAUCGGAUUAUUCUGUUUCUGUUUAAGGGCAUCUUAAUUGAAUCUCCUAGAAUAGAAGCCUUCUCGUGUCAGCCUUCUA